Molecule: long non-coding RNA, 674 nt
Organism: Oncorhynchus keta (chum salmon)
Lineage: Eukaryota; Metazoa; Chordata; Actinopteri; Salmoniformes; Salmonidae
Exons: 3
Source: RefSeq, a predicted model, not a curated record
GGUGCGUCACCACUGCCCGUCAACCCCUAUCAUCCUAGUGGGUACUAAGCUGGAUCUGAGGGAUGAGAAGGAGACCAUCGAGAAGCUCAAAGAGAAGAAACUGGCCCCCAUCACCUACCCACAAGGCCUAGCGCUGGCCAAGGACGUUGACUCUGUGAAGUACUUGGAGUGUUCUGCUCUGACCCAGCGUGGCCUGAAGACAGUGUUUGACGAGGCUAUCAGGGCAGUACUCUGCCCACAGCCAACCAAGGUCGGGAAGAAGAAAUGUCUACUGCUCUAACAGAUGCAGCUCAGAGUGAAAACGGACAGUGAACAAACCAGAGAGCCAGAUGUUAACUCAAAAAGGCCUUUUAGCUUUUCUGUGCUAGAAGAAAAAACAUUGACUUAUGAAAGCCUACGUGGUUAAAUAAAUAUAAAAUAUUAUAAUUAAGUCAUGUUAAAUCUAUUACAAUGGUUUCUGAUGUGUGCUUGUUUGGUACUGGUAUAUAGUGUAUGAUAUCUGUGUUUCUGUCAAAUGAAUAAAUUGUAUAAUAUUUGCAGAAUAUUCAUAAUCUGAACAAGACAAUACUGUAAUAUUUUCCCCUCUACUGUGAAGGUGAUAUUUGACCUUGAUGUAUGUGUGUCCCAAAUGGCACCCUAAUCCCUAAGUGCACCAUUAGACACUUGUAUUUUCA